UGUUAAAAAGAAAAUUAUCGUGUAUUACCGGAACCCAAAAAUAUUACUAACCCUUUUUUUAUAUUAAUAAAAAUAGGCACAGCUUAAUAAAGGAGUGCGGGAAAGAAUGCGAUUCACGCAUUUGACGGCGCGGGAAAUAAAUGCGUGAAUCGCGGCGGCCACACCAUUUACCCAAUCUCAUCUCUUCCUGGCAUCGCCGCCCCAUCUCCGGCGGCUCAUCUCCCUUUAUCCACCGUUUCCGGAACGUAAUCGACACCUUCAGCCAUCUCCGAUAGGAGGCUGAAAAGUUUGUGCUGAUUUUGUUAACCUUACUUGAAGUAAAGACCAAGAGAAAUACCAAGGUGAUAGAAGGUUUGCGCGUUGAAGAAGUUAGGGAACAUUAUGGUUUCCAAUCGCGUGUUAGCGUGUAGCUUACUGGUUUAUUUGGUAGUGGCAAUGCUGUUUGAUGUUACUGGCUGGAAGAGUUUGUUUUUGCAGCUCAUUUUAAUGUGCUAUGUGUGUUUUGGGUUUAACCCUAAUAACCGCAUUAAGUUGAAAGUUGGAUUCUCUUUUGGAAUGAAAAAGGACGCGAAUGGAGAAGGAGAUAGAGAUGAUGACCAUGGUAGAGCAGCUGGUGCACACGAGCGGGUUGAUUGAGUUCUUGAUCAUUGCUACUGAUGUUUUGAUUCUUUUUGGGAUGGGGAUUAUCUUGGAUUAGGUUUGGGGAUUGUUUUGAAUUUGAUUCUUAUGAUGUACAGUCUAUAAGGGGAAGCACUUGUGGGUGCUACUAAACUCCUUUAAACACAUAUGUUAGAAAUCGUUUGAUGAA
Vicia villosa (hairy vetch) is the source of this 808-nucleotide long non-coding RNA. RefSeq lists it as uncharacterized. The record is from RefSeq and is a predicted model, not a curated record. Lineage: Eukaryota; Viridiplantae; Streptophyta; Magnoliopsida; Fabales; Fabaceae. The transcript has 2 exons.